RNAcentral lists this ribosomal RNA (497 nucleotides) under uncultured bacterium. RNAcentral describes it as "partial 16S ribosomal RNA". It matches the Rfam family "Bacterial small subunit ribosomal RNA", at positions 28 to 507 of the family's 1533-position model. The record is from RNAcentral.
GAUGAACGCUGGCGGCGUGCCUAAUACAUGCAAGUCGAGCGAACAGACGAGGAGCUUGCUCCUCUGACGUUAGCGGCGGACGGGUGAGUAACACGUGGAUAACUUACCUAUAAGACUGGGAUAACUUCGGGAAACCGGAGCUAAUACCGGAUAAUAUAUUGAACCGCAUGGUUCAAUAGUGAAAGACGGUUUUGCUGUCACUUAUAGAUGGAUCCGCGCCGCAUUAGCUAGUUGGUAAGGUAACGGCUUACCAAGGCAACGAUGCGUAGCCGACCUGAGAGGGUGAUCGGCCACACUGGAACUGAGACAAGGUCCAGACUCCUACGGGAGGCAGCAGUAGGGAAUCUUCCGCAAUGGGCGAAAGCCUGACGGAGCAACGCCGCGUGAGUGAUGAAGGUCUUCGGAUCGUAAAACUCUGUUAUUAGGGAAGAACAAAUGUGUAAGUAACUAUGCACGUCUUGACGGUACCUAAUCAGAAAGCCACGGCUAACUACGUG